CUCAGAAAUAGUAACGAUGACAACCAUUUGAGUUCUGAAAUUCCGAUUCUGCGUGCACGGUUGCGCGCGUGUGGUGACGCUCCUCCCUCAAUUACAGGAAUAAACCAGGGGAAUGCUCUAAUAAGGCAAGGAGACGAAGAGUCCAUUAUGGAGCCACCGCAGAGCUCUAACAGACCCCGUGCCAUUGCCAUGGCGUUGCCAUGGAUGCAAGCCAGAGAGGGAGGAACGCCGAGCUGUUGCCACCGGAGCUUGAAAAGCAGCAUGACUGACAUUUCAGCAUGAUACACUAAAGCCACAACCUAAUGAAGAGUCCGUGACACAAAGCUGGACACAGAGCUGGCAAAACCCCAACAUCCCGAAAUAUUGG
Molecule: long non-coding RNA, 367 nt
Filed under: Takifugu rubripes (torafugu)
Lineage: Eukaryota; Metazoa; Chordata; Actinopteri; Tetraodontiformes; Tetraodontidae
Description: lncRNA (ENSTRUG00000028538.1)
Source: RNAcentral